AUCAAAUUUCCACUUUUAUUUCCACAAUUUUACCCUACAUGUAGUUUCGGAAAUUGAAUGUCUGUUAGAUAAAUUAAUAGCAUUUGGAAAAUCAUCCUAAUCUGAAAUUCCAGUCCACCCCUUCGAGUUUGGUCGCCCUCCGAAUACGGGGCACACCACUGGAAAGCGGUUGCAAUUCCUGUUUCCCUUUAGAAAACGAAGACACAUUCACCUGCAAACCACGGACGUGUAUAAUAAAAUUUUAUAUUAAAAUUUUUAAAUACGUCCGUGCUGCAAACGCUGAAAGUUUCCUAAUUCGGUAACACUUUCCGAAUUGGGAAACGUUCCCCCAUUCGCGCAUUUCCCGGACUGCUAUUGCAGAUGAAUAGCGCCCUCCAGUAUGGAAUUUUUGGCCUGAUGAAGUUGCAAAACACGGAAGACACUGCAUUUCGAGGACGUCCUUACUCCAUGUACUUAUUCAUGACCGGUACCGGUUGCUUGGAAUCUGUCGCCAUGGACAGUACGUCAUUACAUUGAUUUUCCACUCUACCAUUGUCUACCUCCUCAAGAUCAAGGCACAGAAUUAAUGGACACGGCCUGCAUCAUGUUUAUGCCUUCAACUUUAAUUUCAUGUGUAACCCCCAAACAGUGCACAUUAAAUUCAAGUACCUCCCAACAAAAACGGACACAUGACUCUUUCACAGGUACAGUACCUGAGCCCACCUGUGCACAGGAAUUCACUGAGUUAUCCUAUACAUCCUCUGCAGUCACCUGCAACACCAACCUGUCUUUGCAAGACCAUAAUUAUGCGUCAGGUCAAGGUCAUAGUGAUAACCAUGUUGUAACUGCAACUUCCCACGACCAUAAGUACAGUCGUAGAUCAGUUACACCACCUGCAUCGCUCCCAGAAGGCCUUCCUGAUUGCAAACAAUGCAGCACAUUGCUGGAAAUGGAACCGUGUGUGACCUAUGGCCGUGCCCUCCAUUUGGCAGAACAUAUGUACAGUCGAAGACCUGUACCACCACCUGCCUGUCUCCCAGUUCCUGACAGUGAAUCACGAAGCACACUAGUGGAAUCUGGUGUGACGCAUGGUAGUAUCUUACAUUUGGCAGAACAUAUGUAUAGUCGACGACCUGUACCACCAAGUGCCUGUCUGCCAGACCAUGACAGUGAAGCACAAGGCACACCACUGAAAUCUGGCAUUACACAUGGCAAUAUCUUACAUUUAGCAGAACAUAAUUAUUCAAAGAGAAACAACCCUGCUGCCUUACUUCCCAACGUGAAAACAAGUACAGUCCUUUCUUGACCUCUGCCAAUUACAUGUACAUAUCCAGAAGAAUCAUAGUAACCACAACUUACCAUAUCAACACCAGCCAUUAAAUACCUCCUCAAUGACCACGACUACACCAGGAGGGUCAACUAAUCCCAACCAUUAACUCAGGCAUAUCUGCCAUGCAAACCAAUCGCUUUGCAAGGCAAGAAAUGAAUUUUUGUCAGGAAAUUUAUGUCAUAGCCUUCAUUUGAUACAAUAAACGUCAACACACCAAAAGCAGCACUUCACAAUGGAGAAAGAGUAGCUAGUCACCGUGGAAAUGAAGCUGAUUCUCAGCUGUUGCACACAAAGGAAAACCAAAGACAACUAGGAGGACAGGACCUCAGGCUGAAUAAAUCUGCUUUUCCCUCAACUUCUCACCAGCCCCUGCAAGUGUCCUGAGUCACUUUUUAUUCUGCCUUGACCCGUGUUCGUUCACCUACAUGUAAUUGAGCAAGUCUCCAAAAAUGUAAUCGGUCAUGGUACGGAUUGAAAGAUGUCCUCUCAUGAACAAACCAGCCCAACCACAGUCCACAGAUAUUCCAGUAAAUGGUAUUACUCCAUCUCCAAUGCAAGGUCCAAACACCUGUCGAACAGAUGUGACAGCCGCCACAAAUACAGACAAUUACGCUCUGCCACUUUUUAUCAAACACCGAGUUAUUUUAAAUAACUCAGUGGUUAUAGUUAUAAUUCUGACAGAAUGGAAUAAUGUGUAUCAAUCACAUGGUAAUAACUACAACAAGUAAACUACCAACUGCUUUAAACAUAUUUAAAUGAACUUUAUUCUCGCUUGAUUGAGGCAAUGGGGGUAUGGAAACCGGGCAAAAAACUCGCAAACACAUAUGUAUUUUAAACUACACUUUGUUGUUCAGCUGUACAGAAAAAAUAAAAGAUUUUGCUCAGGGCAAGCAUUCACAUUAAACUCUCUGUAUACAUUUACGUGACCAACAUUUCACUGCAAUAGCUUUUUGAACAGGUUUUGAACAGUUGUUAAAAGCAGAGGAACAAACACAAGGUAAACAGUGUGCUUCCUAUUCCACAAGGAACGGGCACACGGUACCAGUAAUUUCUAUGAACAGAUAAACUGUAACAAAAUGCCUUGACAGCUUGCUGAAGUUUUAUACUGCACUUUGGUAGUAAUCUCAGGCAGAUCUAAUUUUUACAAGGUUAGAUAUGAAGCUAACAUUUCCUUUGGAAGUGCCAGUGAGAUUUUUAAAAAUCUCAGAAUCUAUGUACAUGUACAACUUCCUUGUCGAUAAUUUUAACCACUUUCAUACAAAAAGGAGGAAAAAGUACUAUUCCCACAGAUACGUGUAAUAGUGUACAUUGUAUCAGCAGUAAGAUAUUGUCAUGCUUCGAUUUCACAUUUUACCUCGAGUACAAGUGACCGUACAUUUUGUAAGGGAUGUCAAUCUUUUGAUGGAGUUAAUGUCAGAAAAAAAAACUGCCAAUAUCCAUGCCUCUAAAAAGUAUGAAGCCGCAAGGCCACUCUUCUGGAAUUAUUUUCAAAGCUCUUUUCCUGGCUUUAAGUAAUACUUAGUAUAAGUCGUAAUAAUUAAUGUUGAUGAUUUGGCCAAGGACACUGUAAUGCUCAAUCCCGGAUGAGGUACCACAAAGUCUGCAAAUUCAUCAAUACCAUUCCCAUACAUAUAAUAUAUGUAUAUGGUUUGAAAUGACCACUUUCGUAAUGAAGGUUAGGUUGAAAAUUGCCUUAGAGAGGACAGAAGUUCUGGAGACUACAGCACGGUGCAUAUGCAUCUUUUCGAAGAGAUUGUCAAGUGAUUGAUGCAAAGCAUGUAAAGAAUGAGAAUAAAAUAAAAUAAUAAUGAAAAGUCUGACCGGUCCGUAUGAAUGAAAGACGAAAUAAAAUGUCUGAUCAAAGGAC
Molecule: long non-coding RNA, 3176 nt
Filed under: Acanthaster planci (crown-of-thorns starfish)
Lineage: Eukaryota; Metazoa; Echinodermata; Asteroidea; Valvatida; Acanthasteridae
Description: uncharacterized LOC110985601, transcript variant X1
Source: RNAcentral